UUGUUAUUGGAUGAUGAUUGUCACGUGUCAUGAUCUGAUUGACGAAGAUGAAAUGCAUUGUUCUUCGCCAAUUAGAUCAUGACACAUGACAGUCAUCAUCC
Non-coding RNA from Glycine soja, 101 nucleotides. The record is from Rfam. Lineage: Eukaryota; Viridiplantae; Streptophyta; Magnoliopsida; Fabales; Fabaceae.